Molecule: ribosomal RNA, 465 nt
Filed under: uncultured Lactobacillaceae bacterium
Lineage: Bacteria; Bacillati; Bacillota; Bacilli; Lactobacillales; Lactobacillaceae
Description: bacterial SSU rRNA
Rfam family: Bacterial small subunit ribosomal RNA
Source: RNAcentral
CCUACGAGCGGCAGCAGUAGGGAAUCUUCCACAAUGGGCGAAAGCCUGAUGGAGCAACGCCGCGUGUGUGAUGAAGGGUUUCGGCUCGUAAAACACUGUUGUAAGAGAAGAAUGACAUUGAGAGUAACUGUUCAAUGUGUGACGGUAUCUUACCAGAAAGGAACGGCUAAAUACGUGCCAGCAGCCGCGGUAAUACGUAUGUUCCAAGCGUUAUCCGGAUUUAUUGGGCGUAAAGCGAGCGCAGACGGUUAUUUAAGUCUGAAGUGAAAGCCCUCAGCUCAACUGAGGAAUUGCUUUGGAAACUGGAUGACUUGAGUGCAGUAGAGGAAAGUGGAACCCCAUGUGUAGCGGUGAAAUGCGUAGAUAUAUGGAAGAACACCAGUGGCGAAGGCGGCUUUCUGGACUGUAACUGACGUUGAGGCUCGAAAGUGUGGGUAGCAAACAGGAUUAGAUACCCCUGUAGUC